Molecule: non-coding RNA, 109 nt
Organism: Acanthosepion pharaonis
Lineage: Eukaryota; Metazoa; Mollusca; Cephalopoda; Sepiida; Sepiidae
Source: the annotation of a GenBank genome assembly
UGACCAUAUCACAUUGAAACACUGGUUUCUGUAUGAUCACUACAGUUAAGCAACAUUGAGUUUGAUCAGUAUCUAGAUGAGUGACUGCUUGGGAAUACCAGGUGCUGUA